GAGUUUGAUCCUGGCUCAGAUUGAACGCUGGCGGCAUGCCUUACACAUGCAAGUCGAACGGCAGCACGGGAGCUUGCUCCUGGUGGCGAGUGGCGAACGGGUGAGUAAUGCAUCGGAACGUAUCCUGGAGUGGGGGAGUAACGUAGCGAAAGUUACGCUAAUACCGCAUAUUCUGUGAGCAGGAAAGCGGGGGACCUCCGGGCCUCGCGCUCUUGGAGCGGCCGAUGUCGGAUUAGCUAGUUGGUGAGGUAAAGGCUCACCAAGGCGACGAUCCGUAGCAGGCCUGAGAGGAUGAUCUGCCACACUGGAACUGAGACACGGUCCAGACUCCUACGGGAGGCAGCAGUGGGGAAUUUUGGACAAUGGGGGCAACCCUGAUCCAGCCAUGCGCGUGAGUGAAGAAGG
Molecule: ribosomal RNA, 405 nt
Filed under: bacterium enrichment culture clone ALO1_GLFRUDD03FW5AJ
Lineage: Bacteria
Description: bacterial SSU rRNA
Rfam family: Bacterial small subunit ribosomal RNA
Source: RNAcentral